This 128-nucleotide ribosomal RNA is filed under the name uncultured bacterium. RNAcentral describes it as "partial 16S ribosomal RNA". The record is from RNAcentral.
CGGAUUACGGAGUUUGACUCCUUAACUGCUUCAUCAUUUUACAACCUUACGGCUUCUUCCUUUCCGCCGCAGUGCUGGAUCAGGGUUGCUGCCAUUGUCCAAAAUUCCCCACUGCUGCCUCCCGUAGG